RNAcentral lists this ribosomal RNA (460 nucleotides) under uncultured bacterium. Its description in RNAcentral is "partial 16S ribosomal RNA". It matches the Rfam family "Bacterial small subunit ribosomal RNA", at positions 338 to 795 of the family's 1533-position model. The record is from RNAcentral.
CCUACGGGUGGCAGCAGUGAGGAAUAUUGGUCAAUGGACGAGAGUCUGAACCAGCCAAGUAGCGUGAAGGAUGACUGCCCUAUGGUUUGUAAACUUCUUUUAUAAAGGAAUAAAAUGAGGCACGUGUGCCUUUUUGCAUGUACUUUAUGAAUAAGGAUCGGCUAACUCCGUGCCAGCAGCCGCGGUAAUACGGAGGAUCCGAGCGUUAUCCGGAUUUAUUGGGUUUAAAGGGGGCGUAGAGAGGUUGUUAAGUCAGUUGUGAAAGUUGACGGCUCAAACGUAAAAUUGCAAUUGAUACUGGCAGUCUUGAGUACAGUUGAGGUAGGCGGAAUUCGUGGUGUAGCGGUGAAAUGCAUAGAUAUCACGAAGAACCCCGAUUGCGAAGGCAGCUUACUAACCUGUGACUGACGUUGAUGCACGAAAGGGUGGGUAUCGAACAGGAGUAGAUACCCGAGUAGUC